GUAGGCUGCAGCUCUUGAAUUCUAAAAGGAAUUCAAUUUUAGCUCAAAUAACAUAUUGAGCUGCUUGAAUAACAAAGUUCCAUAAUUCUCAUCAGAAGAGUGAUUAACUUAUAUCAACAAAACUCACACACAUAGACACACACACACAAACACAUUUACAUUUUUUAAGGUAGAAUUGAAUAUGGCGAAGCCUGAAUUGAAGGUUCUUUUUUUUUGAGAUGGAGUCUAGCUCUGUUGCCCAGGCUGCAGUGCAGUGGCACAAUCUCAGCUCACUGCAACCUCCGUCCCCGGGUUCAAGAAAUUCUUCUGCCUCAGCCUCCCGAGUAGCUGGGAUUACAGGCAUGUGCCACCAGGCCCGGCUAAUUUUUGUAUUUUUAGUAGAGAUAGGGUUUCACCAUGUUGGCCAGGCUGGUCUCAAACUCCUGACCUCAAAUGAUCCCCCUACUUCAGCCUCCCACACUGUUGGGAUUAUAGGCAUGAGCCAUUUGUGCCCAGCCUGAAGGUUCAUUUUUUUUUUUCUUUUCUUCUCUUUAUGAGAUGGAGUCUCGCUCUGUUGCCGAGGCUGGAGUGCAGUGGUAUGAUCUUGGAUCACUGCAACCUCCACCUCCUGGGUUCAAGCGAUUCUCCUGCUUCAGCCUCCUGAGUAGCUGGGACUACAGAUGUGCACCACCAGGCCCAGAUAAUUUUUGUAUUUUUAUUAGAGACGGGGUUUCGUCAUGUUGGCCAGACUGGUCUUGAACUCCUGACCUCAGGUGAUCCACCUGCCUUGGCCUCCCAAAGUGCUGGGAUUACAGGCUUGAGCCAC
This 805-nucleotide long non-coding RNA is filed under the name Homo sapiens (human). RNAcentral's name for it is "HSALNT0327669". Lineage: Eukaryota; Metazoa; Chordata; Mammalia; Primates; Hominidae. The record is from RNAcentral.